RNAcentral lists this ribosomal RNA (433 nucleotides) under uncultured bacterium. Its description in RNAcentral is "partial 16S ribosomal RNA". It matches the Rfam family "Bacterial small subunit ribosomal RNA", at positions 29 to 507 of the family's 1533-position model. The record is from RNAcentral.
AACGAACGCUGGCGGCAUGCCUAACACAUGCAAGUCGAACGAGACCUUCGGGUCUAGUGGCGCACGGGUGCGUAACGCGUGGGAACCUGCCCUUAGGUUCGGAAUCACUCCCCGAAAGGGGUGCUAAUACCGGAUAAUGUCUUCGGACCAAAGGUUUAUCGCCUUUGGAUGGGCCCGCGUUUGAUUAGCUAGUUGGUAGGGUAAAAGCCUACCAAGGCGACGAUCCAUAGCUGGUCUGAGAGGAUGAGCAGCCACACUGGGACUGAGACACGGCCCAGACUCUUACGGGAGGCAGCAGUGGGGAAUAUUGGACAAUGGGCGAAAGCCUGAUCCAGCAAGGCCGCGUGAGUGAUGAGGGCAUUAGGGUUGUAAAGCUCUUUUACCCGGGAUGAUAAUGACAGUACCGGGAGAAUAAGCUCCGGCUAACUCCGUG